This 1013-nucleotide long non-coding RNA is filed under the name Capra hircus (goat). RNAcentral's name for it is "lncRNA (ENSCHIG00000001383.1)". Lineage: Eukaryota; Metazoa; Chordata; Mammalia; Artiodactyla; Bovidae. The record is from RNAcentral.
AGCUUCCUCACAUAAAAAUACUGAUUGUAAUUUGCUUAAAACAUCCUUUAAUCCUUCUGUACCCAUCUGUUAGUACAAACAUGUUGCUUAUGCUACCUUAAAAUGUAAAUGAGAGUGUAUCCCAUUAGACUUUUCUAUAUGAACACAAAAGAGAGCUUAAUAUAUGCAGUAACUCUGAUGGAUGAUUCUUAUGAGAGGCCCAUAAAAAAGAAACAGUCAAUCAAACAUAUAGGUUCUAGUUCUUAUCACAGAACAACAGGUGUCAGAGCUUCUUAAGAAAAUGCGCACCCAUCACGGAAUACUGCUGAGUUCUACCCUAUUGGAAACAAAUAAAACCACAGUCACGAUGCCAGCUCCGUAAGCUGUAGAGGAACGCAGUGGAAAAGUGAGAUACCAGUUUGAAAUGCUUUCGAGAACUUUGGAACUGAAAACCAAGAAAACGAGAACUAGCAAGAACUUGACAAACACCUGCCUUCAGAUUGGAAGACCAGUCACCUGUCAUUCCUGGACACUGUACUGCAGCUGUCUAAGGUACAUGGAAAAAUGUACAAUAUCAAAUGUACCUUUGAUAUCUUUUGUUGAUUAUCUUGUGAUAUGUGGAAGAAAAUGCAUUUGUAUGGAAAAUUAUAGGACUGUGUCUCUUAUUUCAAAUGAAUCUUUUUUGGCAGUAAAGGAAAUAGUAUUGUUCAUAUCUUUUGAAAUUACUACUGGGUGUUAAUGUCCUUGAUGUGCUAGUUUAGUUGAUGGAGCCCUGGCCACCUUUAUGAUGUUGUUGCCUUCUCCCAUUCUCAUUCUGUACUUUAUCAGAUCCAAAGUUGUCAUGGUUCAUUAUCUGUAGAUGAUCUUGAGCAGCCUUGCAUUCUGAAAGAAUAUGCCAUAGCAUCUGCCUCUGUGCUUCUGUGCCCUGCUAUUCAGAUGGGAUUUUAGCAACAGUAUUGGGUAAGGGGAGGGGGUGGAGGCAGAAUUUGUCUCAGGCUGAUGUUUCUUUGUGCCACUCUCUGUCUUACUCUUUC